This 105-nucleotide non-coding RNA is filed under the name Chlorella variabilis. Lineage: Eukaryota; Viridiplantae; Chlorophyta; Trebouxiophyceae; Chlorellales; Chlorellaceae. The record is from RNAcentral.
AUCAAUCGAUAAGAUGUGCACCAAAGGUGGCUUGAAAAGAGUCUACCUAGUAGAUGAGGGAUUGUUCCUCUUAUCUGCGACACCGUCAAAUUGCCGGGAAAUCUC